This 239-nucleotide long non-coding RNA is filed under the name Elaeis guineensis (African oil palm). Its description in RNAcentral is "long non-coding RNA (EGUI_LNC049375)". The record is from RNAcentral. Lineage: Eukaryota; Viridiplantae; Streptophyta; Magnoliopsida; Arecales; Arecaceae.
UAGAGCUUUCUGAUUCUUGCACUUCUCCCUGACUUACUCUCCUUCUCGUAUGUUUGAAAGAUGGAAGAAAGUGAGAACAAAGCUAACAAAUUUAAAAUUUAAAAGAUAGAUAUUCUCGUCUAUCACAUGCGUCCCCACAAGAGAUAUGGUGUGGAGAGAUAUCUCCAAGAGUUGAGAUAUUGAGACCUUUUUAUACGUGUAGGUAGAGAGGAGGCUUUCAUAAAUUUUAGAUGUGGGAC